GGGCCCGUGGCCUAGCCAGGAUAGGGCGGCGUCAAUACCAGCCGCAGGUCCCGGGUUCAAAUCCCGGCGGGCCCA
RNAcentral lists this transfer RNA (75 nucleotides) under Thermoprotei archaeon. RNAcentral's name for it is "tRNA-Val". It matches the Rfam family "tRNA". Rfam says of the family: Transfer RNA (tRNA) molecules are approximately 80 nucleotides in length. Lineage: Archaea; Thermoproteati; Thermoproteota; Thermoprotei. The record is from RNAcentral.